GAUGAACGCUGGCGGCGUGCCUAAUACAUGCAAGUCGAGCGAACGGACGAGAAGCUUGCUUUUCUGAUGUUAGCGGCGGACGGGUGAGUAACACGUGGAUAACCUACCUAUAAGACUGGGAUAACUUCGGGAAACCGGAGCUAAUACCGGAUAAUAUUUUGAACCGCAUGGUUCAAAAGUGAAAGACGGUCUUGCUGUCACUUAUAGAUGGAUCCGCGCUGCAUUGGCUAGUUGGUAAGGUAACGGCUUACCAAGGCAACGAUGCAUAGCCGACCUGAGGGGGUGAUCGGCCACACUGGAACUGAGACACGGUCCAGACUCCUACGGGAGGCAGCAGUAGGGAAUCUUCCGCAAUGGGCGAAAGCCUGACGGAGCAACGCCGCGUGAGUGAUGAAGGUCUUCGGAUCGUAAAACUCUGUUAUUAGGGAAGAACAUAUGUGUAAGUAACUGUGCACAUCUUGACGGUACCUAAUCAGAAAGCCACGGCUAACUACGUG
Molecule: ribosomal RNA, 497 nt
Filed under: uncultured bacterium
Lineage: Bacteria
Description: partial 16S ribosomal RNA
Rfam family: Bacterial small subunit ribosomal RNA
Source: RNAcentral